GACGAACGCUGGCGGCGUGCCUAAUACAUGCAAGUUGAGCGAUGAAGAUUGGUGCUUGCACCAAUUUGAAGAGCAGCGCACGGGUGAGUAACGCGUGGGGAAUCUGCCUUUGAGCGGGGGACAACAUUUGGAAACGAAUGCUAAUACCGCAUAAUAACUUUAAACAUAAGUUUUAAGUUUGAAAGAUGCAAUUGCAUCACUCAAAGAUGAUCCCGCGUUGUAUUAGCUAGUUGGUGAGGUAAAGGCUCACCAAGGCGAUGAUACAUAGCCGACCUGAGAGGGUGAUCGGCCACAUUGGGACUGAGACACGGCCCAAACUCCUACGGGAGGCAGCAGUAGGGAAUCGUCGGCAAUGGACGAAAGUCUGACCGAGCAACGCCGCGUGAGUGAAGAAGGGUUUCGGAUCGUAAAACUCUGUUGGUAGAGAAGAACGUUGGUGAGAGUGGAAAGCUCAUCAAGUGACGGUAACUACCCAGAAAGGGACGGCUAACUACGUG
This 497-nucleotide ribosomal RNA is filed under the name uncultured bacterium. RNAcentral describes it as "partial 16S ribosomal RNA". It matches the Rfam family "Bacterial small subunit ribosomal RNA", at positions 28 to 507 of the family's 1533-position model. The record is from RNAcentral.